RNAcentral lists this ribosomal RNA (450 nucleotides) under uncultured bacterium. RNAcentral describes it as "partial 16S ribosomal RNA". It matches the Rfam family "Bacterial small subunit ribosomal RNA", at positions 354 to 796 of the family's 1533-position model. The record is from RNAcentral.
GUGGGGAAUAUUGGACAAUGGGCGAAAGCCUGAUCCAGCCAUGCCGCGUGUGUGAAGAAGGUCUUCGGAUUGUAAAGCACUUUAAGUUGGGAGGAAGGGCAGUAAGUUAAUACCUUGCUGUUUUGACGUUACCGACAGAAUAAGCACCGGCUAACUUCGUGCCAGCAGCCGCGGUAAUACGAAGGGUGCAAGCGUUAAUCGGAAUUACUGGGCGUAAAGCGCGCGUAGGUGGUUUUGUAAGUUGGAGGUGAAAUCCCCGGGCUCAACAUGGGAACUGCCUCCAAAACUGCAUGACUAGAGUACGGUAGAGGGUAGUGGAAUUUCCUGUGUAGCGGUGAAAUGCGUAGAUAUAGGAAGGAACACCAGUGGCGAAGGCGACUACCUGGACUGAUACUGACACUGAGGUGCGAAAGCGUGGGGAGCAAACAGGAUUAGAUACCCUAGUAGUCC